RNAcentral lists this transfer RNA (88 nucleotides) under Acidobacteriota bacterium. Its description in RNAcentral is "tRNA-Ile". It matches the Rfam family "tRNA". From Rfam's summary of the family: Transfer RNA (tRNA) molecules are approximately 80 nucleotides in length. Their secondary structure includes four short double-helical elements and three loops (D, anti-codon, and T loops). Further hydrogen bonds mediate the characteristic L-shaped molecular structure. tRNAs have two regions of fundamental functional importance: the anti-codon, which is responsible for specific mRNA codon recognition, and the 3' end, to which the tRNAs corresponding amino acid is attached (by aminoacyl-tRNA synthetases). tRNAs cope with the degeneracy of the genetic code in two manners: having more than one tRNA (with a specific anti-codon) for a particular amino acid; and 'wobble' base-pairing, i.e. permitting non-standard base-pairing at the 3rd anti-codon position. The record is from RNAcentral. Lineage: Bacteria; Pseudomonadati; Acidobacteriota.
CGGGGCGUAGCUUAAAGGUAGAGCAGCGAGCUUAUACCUAGUAACGACAGAUAAUCGGCUGAUGCAGGUUCGACUCCUGCCGCCCCGA